UAUAAACCCGGGAAACUGGGUAUAAUCCCUGAUAGUCCUCGAAAGCUGGAAUGCAUCGAGGACGAAAGCUCCGGCGCCUGAGGAUGGGUCUGCGGCCUAUCAGGUAGUAGUGGGUGUAACGUACCUACUAGCCUACGACGGGUACAGGUUGUGAGAGCAAGAGCCCGGAGAUGGAUUCUGAGACACGAAUCCAGGCCCUACGGGGUGCAGCAGGCGCGAAAACUUUACAAUGCCGGCAACGGCGAUAAGGGGACCUCGAGUGCCAGGUUACAAAUCUGGCUGUCGUGAUGCCUAAAAAGCAUUGCAUAGCAAGGGCCGGGCAAGACCGGUGCCAGCCGCCGCGGUAACACCGGCGGCUCGAGUGGUAACCGUUAUUAUUGGGUCUAAAGGGUCUGUAGCCGGCCGGAUAAGUCUCUUGGGAAAUCCAGCAGCUCAACUGUUGGGCUUUCAGGAGAUACUGUUCGGCUCGAGGCCGGGAGAGGUGAGAGGUACUUCAGGGGUAGGGGUGAAAUCUUGUAAUCCUUGAAGGACCACCAGUGGCGAAGGCGUCUCACCAGAACGGACCUGACGGCAAGGGACGAAAGCUAGGGGCACGAACCGGAUUAGAUACCCGGGUAGUCCUAGCCGUAAACGAUACUCGCUAGGUGUCGGCCACGGUGCGACCGUUGUCGGUGCCGUAGGGAAGCCGUGAAGCGAGCCACCUGGGAAGUACGGCCGCAAGGCUGAAACUUAAAGGAAUUGGCGGGGGAGCACCACAACGGGUGGAGCUUGCGGUUUAAUUGGAUUCAACGCCGGAAACCUUACCGGGAC
This 810-nucleotide ribosomal RNA is filed under the name uncultured archaeon. RNAcentral describes it as "bacterial SSU rRNA". It matches the Rfam family "Archaeal small subunit ribosomal RNA", at positions 125 to 936 of the family's 1478-position model. The record is from RNAcentral.